GUUUUUUAGAAUUUAAUUAAAAGUUUAACCUGCCCAUUGAUUUUUUUUUUAAAGGCUGCGGUAUUUUGACCGUACAAAGGUAGCAUAAUCAUUAGUUUUUUAAUUGAGAACUAGAAUGAAUGGUUGGAUGAGAUAUUAACUGUUUUAAUUAAAAUUUUAGAAUUUUACUUUUUAAUUAAAAGGUUAAAAUAAAUUUAAAAGACGAGAAGACCCUAUAGAGUUUAAUAUUUAUUUAUUUUUAAUUUAUUUAGUUUAAUUUUUAUUAAAUUUAAUUAAAUAUUUUGUUGGGGUGACAAUAAAAUUUUAUAAACUUUUAUUUAUAAGGCCCAUUAAUAUAUGAAUUUUUGAUCCAUUAUUAAUGAUUAUAAGUUUAAAUUACCUUAGGGAUAACAGCGUAAUUUUUUUUUUAAGUUCUUAUUAAUAAAAAAGAUUGCGACCUCGAUGUUGGAUUAAGAUUAAUUUUAGGKGCAGAAGUUUAAAAUUUAAGUCUGUUCGACUUUUAAAUUCUU
This 509-nucleotide ribosomal RNA is filed under the name Leptosciarella scutellata. Its description in RNAcentral is "partial small subunit ribosomal RNA". The record is from RNAcentral. Lineage: Eukaryota; Metazoa; Arthropoda; Insecta; Diptera; Sciaridae.